UACUGGUUUAAAAAGAUUUGUUCCAUAUAUGUUUUGUGGACUCUAUUUCGUGCAAGCCCAUUGAAGAUCAAGGCCUGCAGAAGAACGACUAUUUAAGGAGGCUUAACCCUAGUUGCUAAGUGUGCGUUGGGCACCCAAGGAUGGUGUUUUAGGGUUUGUGUUUGUGAGUCCUUGUUCUGUGAUUUUGUACACCACUCUACUGUCUCCAUUGAUAAAUCAUAUGGCUUAGAGUUGGUUUGUUUUAGCUGAGUUGUAAUCUCUUCAAUUGUUGUUUGAUCAUGAGAUCUGUCUUUACUCUUGUGUAAGUUUCAAUCACUAUGGCAGUGAUUGUGAGAGAAAGUGAGAGGG
This 348-nucleotide long non-coding RNA is filed under the name Lotus japonicus. RNAcentral describes it as "long non-coding RNA (LJAP_LNC001756)". Lineage: Eukaryota; Viridiplantae; Streptophyta; Magnoliopsida; Fabales; Fabaceae. The record is from RNAcentral.